GAUGAACGCUAGCGGCAGGCCUAACACAUGCAAGUCGAGGGGCAGCACAUAAAGUGGUUUACUACUUUUGGUGGCGACCGGCGGACGGGUGCGUAACGCGUAUGCAACCUGCCUCCAACAGGGGGAUAACGGAGAGAAAUUUCCACUAAUACCCCAUAAUAUCAGAAUCGGCAUCGGUUUUGGUUGAAAACUCCGGUGGUUGGAGAUGGGCAUGCGUUGUAUUAGAUAGUUGGUGAGGUAACGGCUCACCAAGUCAACGAUACAUAGGGGGACUAGGAGUUUAGCCCCCCACACUGGUACGGAGACACGGACCAGACUCCUACGGGCGGCAGCAGCGAGGAAUAUUGGUCAAUGGGGGCAACCCUGAACCAGCCAUGCCGCGUGAAGGAAGACGGCUCUAUGAGUCGUAAACUGCUUUUACAAGGGGAUAAAUCGGUGUACGUGUACACCGUUGAAGGUACCUUGGGAAUAAGGAUCGGCUAACUCCGUGCCAGCCGCCGCCGUAA
This 506-nucleotide ribosomal RNA is filed under the name uncultured bacterium. Its description in RNAcentral is "partial 16S ribosomal RNA". It matches the Rfam family "Bacterial small subunit ribosomal RNA", at positions 28 to 523 of the family's 1533-position model. The record is from RNAcentral.